AUCCCUUGUAACGAUUAUUCAAAGUUCAUUAUUGACCAUUUUGAUUUUUUUCUUCUUUUGGAUAAUUAAUUAAUUCAGUUGUUUCUUAAUUGUUUUUCUUCAAUUUAGUGAUUUUUGGAAAGCUUGGAGCCUAUGGGUCAUACUUGGAAUGAAUUAUAUUCUCUAACAAGUUCUCCUAGUUGAUUAAUUUAAUUAUUUUCUAAAAUGUUCCAAUCAUCAUUAACUCUAAUGUUUCUUGUUUUGUUGAUAUUGGUCAAUGUUAAUGGUCACUUACCUGUUCUCGAGGUAGAUUAGGCGAUUGUCCAGUUCGAGAGUCGUACAUUGCCCGAUGGAAGGGCAUAAAUCGGCCACCCUUACAGUCGCGAUCAUACAUUUCGUCGCACUUUUCAAUCUUAAUCUUACUCAUUUCAAUUGGACAACCUGAUUCACUGGCCAUUAGUAUUUCGGAUGAAACAACUUGACC
Molecule: long non-coding RNA, 463 nt
Organism: Panonychus citri (citrus red mite)
Lineage: Eukaryota; Metazoa; Arthropoda; Arachnida; Trombidiformes; Tetranychidae
Exons: 2
Source: RefSeq, a predicted model, not a curated record